CUACGGGAGGCUGCAGUGAGGAAUUUUGCGCAAUGGGGGAAACCCUGACGCAGCAACGCCGCGUGAGUGAUGAAGGCUUUCGGGUCGUAAAGCUCUGUCAAGUGGGAAGAACCUAUCUGAUGUUAAUACCAUUAGAUACUGACGGUACCACUGAAGGAAGCACCGGCUAACUCCGUGCCAGCAGCCGCGGUAAUACGGGGGGUGCAAGCGUUAUUCGGAAUCAUUGGGCGUAAAGAGCACGUAGGCGGUUUCAUAAGUCAGAUGUGAAAGCCCGGGGCUUAACCCCGGAAGUGCAUUUGAAACUAUGAGACUUGAGUAUGGGAGAGGGAAGUGGAAUUCCUGGUGUAGAGGUGAAAUUCGUAGAUAUCAGGAGGAACACCGGUGGCGAAGGCGACUUCCUGGACCAAUACUGACGCUGAGGUGCGAAGGCGUGGGUAGCAAACAGGAUUAGAUACCCUCGUAGUC
This 465-nucleotide ribosomal RNA is filed under the name uncultured bacterium. Its description in RNAcentral is "partial 16S ribosomal RNA". It matches the Rfam family "Bacterial small subunit ribosomal RNA", at positions 339 to 795 of the family's 1533-position model. The record is from RNAcentral.